RNAcentral lists this ribosomal RNA (253 nucleotides) under uncultured bacterium. RNAcentral's name for it is "partial 16S ribosomal RNA". It matches the Rfam family "Bacterial small subunit ribosomal RNA", at positions 524 to 776 of the family's 1533-position model. The record is from RNAcentral.
UACGUAGGGUGCAAGCGUUAUUCGGAAUUACUGGGCGUAAAGCGUGCGCAGGCGGUGAUGUAAGACAGAUGUGAAAUCCCCGGGCUCAACCUGGGAACUGCAUUUGUGACUGCAUCGCUAGAGUACGGCAGAGGGGGAUGGAAUUCCGCGUGUAGCAGUGAAAUGCGUAGAUAUGCGGAGGAACACCGAUGGCGAAGGCAAUCCCCUGGGCCUGUACUGACGCUCAUGCACGAAAGCGUGGGGAGCAAACAGG